This 466-nucleotide ribosomal RNA is filed under the name uncultured beta proteobacterium. RNAcentral describes it as "bacterial SSU rRNA". It matches the Rfam family "Bacterial small subunit ribosomal RNA", at positions 395 to 854 of the family's 1533-position model. Lineage: Bacteria; Pseudomonadati; Pseudomonadota; Betaproteobacteria. The record is from RNAcentral.
UGCCGCGUGCGGGAAGAAGGCCUUCGGGUUGUAAACCGCUUUUGUCAGGGAAGAAACGGGUUUCUCUAAUACAGAGACCUAAUGACGGUACCUGAAGAAUAAGCACCGGCUAACUACGUGCCAGCAGCCGCGGUAAUACGUAGGGUGCAAGCGUUAAUCGGAAUUACUGGGCGUAAAGCGUGCGCAGGCGGUUAUGCAAGACAGAGGUGAAAUCCCCGGGCUCAACCUGGGAACUGCCUUUGUGACUGCAUAGCUAGAGUACGGUAGAGGGGGAUGGAAUUCCGCGUGUAGCAGUGAAAUGCGUAGAUAUGCGGAGGAACACCGAUGGCGAAGGCAAUCCCCUGGACCUGUACUGACGCUCAUGCACGAAAGCGUGGGGAGCAAACAGGAUUAGAUACCCUGGUAGUCCACGCCCUAAACGAUGUCAACUGGUUGUUGGGAGGGUUUCUUCUCAGUAACGAAGCUA